This 344-nucleotide ribosomal RNA is filed under the name uncultured eukaryote. RNAcentral describes it as "SSU rRNA". It matches the Rfam family "Eukaryotic small subunit ribosomal RNA", at positions 567 to 925 of the family's 1831-position model. The record is from RNAcentral.
CCAGCAGCCGCGGUAAUUCCAGCUCCAAUAGCGUAUAUUAAAGUUGUUGCAGUUAAAAAGCUCGUAGUUGGAUUUGUGGAUUCUGCCGGGGUCCAAUUUGGUACCUUGGCGGCGUCCAUCCUUGGGUGGAUCCUGUGUGGCAUUAAGUUGUCGUGCAGGGGAUGCUCAUCGUUUACUGUGAAAAAAUUAGCGCGUUCAAAGCAAGCUUAUGCUGUUGAAUAUAUUAGCAUGGAAUAAUGAGAUAGGACCUUGGUACUAUUUUGUUGGUUUGCGCACCGAGGUAAUGAUUAAUAGGGACAGUUGGGGGUAUUCGUAUUCCAUUGUCAGAGGUGAAAUUCUUGGAU